RNAcentral lists this non-coding RNA (31 nucleotides) under Rattus norvegicus (Norway rat). The record is from RNAcentral. Lineage: Eukaryota; Metazoa; Chordata; Mammalia; Rodentia; Muridae.
UAUGCCAGGAACUAUACUCUUCCAAACAUGC